UAGUUUUUCUCUCUCCACUUUUUUUCUAUGGGUAUUAUACCUAAAUAAUAUAUCUUUAUUUCCCGUUGCUAAAUCCACUUUCCUCUCCUCCGCCAUGGGCAAACUUCGAACUCCACCGACGCAGCUUUCAGCAACACGGCUGCUCAUCUUCCAUCCAACGCCAGCAAGCUCUGACGAAUGUAGGAUCGCCGCCUACCAACGGAGGCAGAUAGAAGAAGUUCGUCUUCCAAUGGCGAUGGAGACGGGCGAUUGAGGCGACGGACUGCAACUGCUGAUCGAAGCCAUGGGAAUUCAUGACAAUCUCUGGAAGCUUUGUGAUUGUUGAGGAUAGGCACGUCAAUGUGGCAGGAAGAAACCGGACUAAUGGGACACAAAGUUGUAUGGUUUAUCAUUGCGUUUCCACCCCCUUGUUUAAACUUGGCCAACAGCACUUUGUUAUUGUUAUGAAUUGAUACCCUCGAAUUAUCCACUCGUAGUUGUUUUUGAUUUUUUAUGUUUCUCCCAUGAUUAUUUUUUUAAUAGAAGAUAAAAGAAUUAUCUGACCAAAUCUGUUAUUAAGUGGAAUCUUCCAUUCAUUAUAAGGCUGUCAAAUGCUUUUUGCUCUCCUAAAAUAUGACUAUGGCUAACACUAGCAACAAUCUGGCUUUAUUAUGCACAAUGUUAUAUGUAUUUCAUUUACCAUUGUGCUCUGUCUAGAACCAUAUUUUGGCCUUCAUCAGCUUUUGUGAAGUUACGUUAGCUAGACUGGUAUACUUAUUUGGUAUAAAAAUGAAUUGUAAAAUUGUAUUGCCCAUUAUGAUUUAAGAACCUGCUUGUUGGGCACAUUUUUUUCACACAACGGCCACAUCUACACCAAUAGUUUAAGCCUGAUUUCUUGUAGAGAUAAUCUCUCGUUUAAUAGUCUAUUCCUGGAAUCAUUUAAAGUUAUGUAGUGACAAAACGCUAACAUAGAUGACUUUGCGGACGGUAAUAAAUAGUUGAUGAGAAAAAUAUUUGGCCCUUUUAGUACCUUUUAGAGCAUAAUGAAAAAACAAAGGCACCUUGCUUUAGGGGUAUAUAAAUAAUACUGUUAGAAAAGGUGGAGGUGGCCAAUCCAAUAAGAAGCUCUUUUUCAUUUGAGAUUCUCAGCAACUUCAAUCGAUCAAAAGCUUGUUGAUAUAAUCUAAUAUAUGCCUUGAUCAAUCUUUUAUAUACUCAAUCAGAUAGCUUUUCAGAGAAAACAUUUCUCAUGAAAUGCAUUUCCUAGAUUUACGAUGAAACUACAGGAAGAGCAACUUUCUCUCUGGCAAAGGUCCUAAGUUUGAUAUGCUUUCUUUAUUUUUCUCCUUGCGCUUUCUUAAGCAACAAGACUUGCAGACAUGAACACUCUUGAUUCUUGGACAGUGGCAGAGGACAGGAUUUUAGGCUGCAGAAGUUGCAGAAAUGUUUUUAGCAUGCUUCCUUAUUGUGACAUGGAAACCAUGCAUAAUGAAUGCAGCAACAUUAUCGAGCAUUGGUAUGUCUGUUGAUCAUACUAAAAUAGAACUAAACUUUUCUAAAAUUUGUUUGUUCAUAAGUGAUUAGAUGACUCUUAGCCACUUUUAGGUAUAAAGAAGUAUAUUAUGGCCAUGCAAAUGAUAAAUUUGGAGGCUGCGACUCGAUGCUUUUGUUGCAUUCAAGUAUCUCCGAGGCAUGCAUUAGGUCAGUUUCUGAACUUCCUUUUGUUGCUCAUUUUGUAUCGAUUGAGCUCCACUUUGAAAUUGUGACGUGAUAAUUGACAACUCAAGCUUACUGGAGGUUUAUGAUUCCUUAUGUUGAUUACUGAUGGAUGCAGAUUUGUAAUGAUUCUGUUUGCUGUUGCACCUUGAAUAUUGCAACACAUAACCUCUCGAAGUUUCUGAAGCCCCAAGAAGUCGAAUUUAUAUCAAUUGUUUCUAUCUUCACUUUAUUUGCUUUUUCUUAAAUUCUUUAUUACUGGUUAAACAUUUUCCUUUUUGUUAAUUUCCACUGAAAAAUUUAUAGUUCUGGGAAGUGCCAUAAGUUGAGCUAACAUUAGUUUGUUCUUUCAUUUUCCCUUUGCCCCCUGUUUCUUCAUCUCUUCUUCCUCACUUGUUUUCACUGCAGUGAGAUUCUUUGAUGUCUUAAUGUUAUCAAGAUUAAAUCAGGAAACAUAGUAUCUUCAAAGAAGUAUGAUUUUGUGACUAUGAGCAAAUUAUGCUUUCUGAUA
Eucalyptus grandis is the source of this 2206-nucleotide long non-coding RNA. RefSeq lists it as uncharacterized. The record is from RefSeq and is a predicted model, not a curated record. The transcript is spliced from 2 exons. NCBI's taxonomy places the organism in Eukaryota, Viridiplantae, Streptophyta, Magnoliopsida, Myrtales, Myrtaceae.